AAAUCACAACCUAAAAUGAUGAGAGAAAGUAAAUGGUUAUAU
Molecule: non-coding RNA, 42 nt
Filed under: Trypanosoma brucei brucei
Lineage: Eukaryota; Euglenozoa; Kinetoplastea; Trypanosomatida; Trypanosomatidae
Source: RNAcentral